Balaenoptera musculus (blue whale) is the source of this 517-nucleotide long non-coding RNA. RefSeq lists it as uncharacterized. The record is from RefSeq and is a predicted model, not a curated record. NCBI's taxonomy places the organism in Eukaryota, Metazoa, Chordata, Mammalia, Artiodactyla, Balaenopteridae. The transcript has 3 exons.
AGUGUGCAGUCAGUAAAUGCGUGUAAACUGAAGGAUGCAUGAACGGUGCCCCAUGGAGGUGGAUCAGCGCAGAGGAGAAAAGAUUUCAACUUAAACGUGACUUCCUCCCUGAAAGCUUUCUCUUCCUCAAGUCCACAUCAGGUUUCCCUGAUACAGGCUCCCACACUAGAUGUCCUCCAUCACAGCCCUUUUCUGUGUUGUCAUUGCUUGUCACUUGAAGGUGAGGUGCAGAGAAUCGGGCCCCAGCUCAAAUCCAUGCUCUAUCACUUAUUUGCUGUGUGACACUGGGCAAAUGACCUCCCCUUCUGAACUCUCAUCUCCUGAGCUACGAAAUGGAGACAACACUUGCUGACGACUUGACUUCCAAUGUUUCUGUUUUCUUACACACCAUACAUAUUACACAUUGGCCUUCGGCAGUUCAGUUCUGAAGGCCACCCAUACACUGCUGUGUAUCAGUGGACAGAAGAAUGUGAGCUGAGGCACGGUGAUGUUCCAGCCCACCGGCCGUCAGUACAGC